This 432-nucleotide ribosomal RNA is filed under the name uncultured bacterium. RNAcentral's name for it is "partial 16S ribosomal RNA". It matches the Rfam family "Bacterial small subunit ribosomal RNA", at positions 29 to 506 of the family's 1533-position model. The record is from RNAcentral.
AACGAACGCUGGCGGCAUGCCUAACACAUGCAAGUCGAACGAGACCUUCGGGUCUAGUGGCGCACGGGUGCGUAACGCGUGGGAACCUGCCCUUAGGUUCGGAAUAACUCCCCGAAAGGGGUGCUAAUACCGGAUAAUGUCUUCGGACCAAAGAUUUAUCGCCUUUGGAUGGGCCCGCGUUGGAUUAGCUAGUUGGUAGGGUAAAAGCCUACCAAGGCGACGAUCCAUAGCUGGUCUGAGAGGAUGAUCAGCCACACUGGGACUGAGACACGGCCCAGACCCCUACGGGAGGGAGGAGUGGGGAAUAUGGGACAGGGGGCGAAAGCCGGAUCCAGCAAGGGCGGGGGAGGGAUGAAGGCCUUUGGGUUGUAAAGCUUUUUUACCCGGGAAGAAAAGGACAGUCCCGGGAGAAUGAGCCCCGGCUAACCCCGU